This 534-nucleotide ribosomal RNA is filed under the name uncultured bacterium. RNAcentral's name for it is "bacterial SSU rRNA". It matches the Rfam family "Bacterial small subunit ribosomal RNA", at positions 777 to 1311 of the family's 1533-position model. The record is from RNAcentral.
AAUAGAUACCCGGGUAGUCCACGCCGUAAACGAUGAGUGCUAAGUGUUAGAGGGUUUCCGCCCUUUAGUGCUGAAGUUAACGCAUUAAGCACUCCGCCUGGGGAGUACGGCCGCAAGGCUGAAACUCAAAGGAAUUGACGGGGGCCCGCACAAGCGGUGGAGCAUGUGGUUUAAUUCGAAGCAACGCGAAGAACCUUACCAGGUCUUGACAUCCUCUGACAACCCUAGAGAUAGGGCUUCUCCUUCGGGAGCAGAGUGACAGGUGGUGCAUGGUUGUCGUCAGCUCGUGUCGUGAGAUGUUGGGUUAAGUCCCGCAACGAGCGCAACCCUUGAUCUUAGUUGCCAUCAUUUAGUUGGGCACUCUAAGGUGACUGCCGGUGACAAACCGGAGGAAGGUGGGGAUGACGUCAAAUCAUCAUGCCCCUUAUGACCUGGGCUACACACGUGCUACAAUGGACGGUACAAAGAGCUGCAAGACCGCGAGGUGGAGCUAAUCUCAUAAAACCGUUCUCAGUUCGGAUUGUAGGCUGCUAA